Molecule: ribosomal RNA, 301 nt
Filed under: uncultured bacterium
Lineage: Bacteria
Description: partial 16S ribosomal RNA
Rfam family: Bacterial small subunit ribosomal RNA
Source: RNAcentral
CAGUCGCCGCGGGAACACGGAGGGUGCAAGCGUUAAUCGGAAUUACUGGGCGUAAAGCGCACGCAGGCGGUCUGUUAAGUCAGAUGUGAAAUCCCCGGGCUCAACCCGGGAACUGCAUUUGAAACUGGCAGGCUUGAGUCUUGUAGAGGGGGGUAGAAUUCCAGGUGUAGCGGUGAAAUGCGUAGAGAUCUGGAGGAAUACCGGUGGCGAAGGCGGCCCCCUGGACAAAGACUGACGCUCAGGUGCGAAAGCGUGGGGAGCAAACAGGAUUAGAUACCCCUGUAGUCCCUGUCUCUUAUAA